CCUCUCAAAACCAACCAUUCCCACGUCUCUUUCAACAUGAACCAAACCCUAGCCUCCUAAAAGAACCUCACCGCCUCCGCCGCUAACCACCACCGGAAAUCGCCUCAUGGCGGUUCUGGUGGUCCAAACCUCCCCAAAUAUUUACCAGGAAAUCCCCUUUAUUUCCUCUUUCCAAAUCCCUAAAUAAUUCCUUCAAAUCCCCGCCAAUCUUUUCCGAUUUCAGAUCUAAAGUACCAACCCCAAAAACCCUAACUCACUCAAACCGCCCCAAGUCCACACCCUGUAGUCACCCGGCUUCCCCAAACCCAAAACACCCAACAAUUUCCCCUAGGAGUCUUUGAAGCUCGUCGAAUUUUGGAUCUAGGGUUCGACCCCUUCUGUUUCUUUGGGAAUUUUUCUCGAAGUUUUGCCUAAUUUGGCUGGAAGUUUGCCCAAUUAGGUUAUUCUUUACCAGAGUAACCAUUUGUGUCAACUUCAAGCCUUUUGAAUCAUCCGAAGCCAAGCACAAGUUCUUUCGUUUCUUCUUCGUCCUUUAGUAGGCAUUUCUUGGACCUUGAGUAAUAUGUGAAGUGCAAAUCUGAAACCAUGUAAUCAAGUGUGGAGACUUAAGAAUGAAUAUUAGCUUUGCUGAAAGAUUAUUCACGUGCUCUUUAAAGUUUUGCCCAAAUUAUGUACUAAGUUAGCUUUACAUUAUGUGUUCCUUUGCUCAUUUACAUUAAUAAUGCUAUAUUCCAUUUUCAA
This is a non-coding RNA of Nicotiana tabacum (common tobacco), 741 nucleotides long. Lineage: Eukaryota; Viridiplantae; Streptophyta; Magnoliopsida; Solanales; Solanaceae. The record is from RefSeq and is a predicted model, not a curated record.